RNAcentral lists this ribosomal RNA (491 nucleotides) under uncultured bacterium. Its description in RNAcentral is "partial 16S ribosomal RNA". It matches the Rfam family "Bacterial small subunit ribosomal RNA", at positions 29 to 507 of the family's 1533-position model. The record is from RNAcentral.
AGUGAACGCUGGCGGUAGGCCUAACACAUGCAAGUCGAACGGCAGCACAGUAAGAGCUUGCUCUUACGGGUGGCGAGUGGCGGACGGGUGAGGAAUACAUCGGAAUCUACUUUUUCGUGGGGGAUACGUAGGGAAACUUACGCUAAUACCGCAUACGACCUACGGGUGAAAGCAGGGGAUCUUCGGACCUUGCGCGAUUGAAUGAGCCGAUGUCGGAUUAGCUAGUUGGCGGGGUAAAGGCCCACCAAGGCGACGAUCCGUAGCUGGUCUGAGAGGAUGAUCAGCCACACUGGAACUGAGACACGGUCCAGACUUCUACGGGAGGCAGCAGUGGGGAAUAUUGGACAAUGGGCGCAAGCCUGAUCCAGCCAUACCGCGUGGGUGAAGAAGGCCUUCGGGUUGUAAAGCCCUUUUGUUGGGAAAGAAAAGCAGCAGGUUAAUACCCCGCUGUUCUGACGGUACCCAAAGAAUAAGCACCGGCUAACUUCGUG